This is a small nucleolar RNA of Cannabis sativa, 72 nucleotides long. The record is from RefSeq and is a predicted model, not a curated record. NCBI's taxonomy places the organism in Eukaryota, Viridiplantae, Streptophyta, Magnoliopsida, Rosales, Cannabaceae.
UGAUAUGAUGAAUACACUGGACUCUGAGCAGUUGAUUGAUGGACAUGCAGCCUAGUAAGCUUCAUUUGAAUC